GAUGAACGCUGGCGGCGUGCCUAAUACAUGCAAGUCGAGCGAACGGACGAGAAGCUUGCUUCUCUGAUGUUAGCGGCGGACGGGUGAGUAACACGUGGAUAACCUACCUAUAAGACUGGGAUAACUUCGGGAAACCGGAGCUAAUACCGGAUAAUAUUUUGAACCGCAUGGUUCAAAAGUGAAAGGCGGUCUUGCUGUCACUUAUAGAUGGAUCCGCGCUGCAUUAGCUAGUUGGUAAGGUAACGGCUUACCAAGGCAACGAUGCAUAGCCGACCUGAGAGGGUGAGCGGCAACAGUGGAAAUGAGAAAAGGGCCAGAGUACGACGGGAGGCAGCAGUAGGGGAGAGUGAGCAAGGGGUGAAAGCCGGACGGAGCAAUGCAGAGGGAAGGAUGAAGGUAUUAGGAUCGUAAAACGUGUUUAUGAUGGAAGAAAAAAAGGCUAAGGAAACAGGCAAGCCUGGAAGGGACCGAAUAAGAAAGCCACGGCGAACGAAGGG
This 497-nucleotide ribosomal RNA is filed under the name uncultured bacterium. RNAcentral describes it as "partial 16S ribosomal RNA". It matches the Rfam family "Bacterial small subunit ribosomal RNA", at positions 28 to 507 of the family's 1533-position model. The record is from RNAcentral.